GACGAACGCUGGCGGCGUGCUUAACACAUGCAAGUCGAACGGGAAGUCCCUGCUUUUGUGGGGUGGGCGGGUGGCGAACGGGUGAGUAACACGUGAGUAACCUACCCUUGACUUUGGGGUAUCUUCAUGCAACUUGGGCUCAUACCGGAUAGGAGCUCUUGCUGCAUGGUGGGCGUUGGUUAGUUUCGGUGGUUGGGGAUGGAAUCGCGGCGUAUCAGCUUGUUGGUGGGGUAGUGGCUUACCAAGGCUUUGACCGGUGGCCGGCCUGAGCGGGGGAGCCGACACACUGGGCCUGAGAUGCGGCCCAGACUCCUACGGGAGGCAGCAGUGGAGUAUGGAACACUAUGGGCGGAAGCAUGAUGUAGCAACGCCGCGCGCGGGAUGAGGGGCUUCGGGUAGGGAACUGCUUUCGCCUUUGACGGGGCGUGAGUGACGGUAAUGGGUAAAUAAGCACCGGCUAACUACGUG
This 468-nucleotide ribosomal RNA is filed under the name uncultured bacterium. RNAcentral's name for it is "partial 16S ribosomal RNA". It matches the Rfam family "Bacterial small subunit ribosomal RNA", at positions 28 to 507 of the family's 1533-position model. The record is from RNAcentral.